This 583-nucleotide ribosomal RNA is filed under the name Torulaspora globosa. RNAcentral describes it as "partial large subunit ribosomal RNA". It matches the Rfam family "Eukaryotic large subunit ribosomal RNA", at positions 55 to 652 of the family's 3401-position model. Lineage: Eukaryota; Fungi; Ascomycota; Saccharomycetes; Saccharomycetales; Saccharomycetaceae. The record is from RNAcentral.
GGAAAAGAAACCAACCGGGAUUGCCUCAGUAACGGCGAGUGAAGCGGCAAAAGCUCAAAUUUGAAAUCUGGUACCUUCGGUGCCCGAGUUGUAAUUUGUAGAAGGUAACUUUGGGGCUGGUCCUUGUCUAUGUUCCUUGGAACAGGACGUCAUAGAGGGUGAGAAUCCCGUGUGGCGAGGAAUCCAGUCCUUUGUAAAGUGCUUUCGAAGAGUCGAGUUGUUUGGGAAUGCAGCUCUAAGUGGGUGGUAAAUUCCAUCUAAAGCUAAAUAUUGGCGAGAGACCGAUAGCGAACAAGUACAGUGAUGGAAAGAUGAAAAGAACUUUGAAAAGAGAGUGAAAAAGUACGUGAAAUUGUUGAAAGGGAAGGGCAUUUGAUCAGACAUGGUGUUUUGCGCCCCUCGCUCCUUGUGGGUGGGGGAAUCUCGCAGUUCACUGGGCCAGCAUCAGUUUUGGCGGUAGGAUAAAUCUAUAGGAAUGUAACUUGCUUCGGGAAGUAUUAUAGCCUAUGGGAAUACUGCCAGCCGGGACUGAGGACUGCGACAUUCGUCAAGGAUGCUGGCAUAAUGGUUAUAUGCCGCCCGU